RNAcentral lists this ribosomal RNA (253 nucleotides) under uncultured bacterium. RNAcentral describes it as "partial 16S ribosomal RNA". It matches the Rfam family "Bacterial small subunit ribosomal RNA", at positions 524 to 776 of the family's 1533-position model. The record is from RNAcentral.
UACGGGGGGGGCAAGCGUUGUUCGGAUUCACUGGGCGUAAAGGGUGCGUAGGUGGUGGGGUAAGUCGGAUGUGAAAGCUCGGAGCUCAACUCCGAAAUGGCAUUGGAAACUACCCUGCUAGAGGAUUGGAGGGGGGACUGGAAUACUUGGUGUAGCAGUGAAAUGCGUAGAUAUCAAGUGGAACACCAGUGGCGAAGGCGAGUCCCUGGACAAUACCUGACACUGAGGCACGAAAGCUAGGGGAGCAAACAGG